Molecule: ribosomal RNA, 526 nt
Filed under: uncultured freshwater bacterium
Lineage: Bacteria
Description: bacterial SSU rRNA
Rfam family: Bacterial small subunit ribosomal RNA
Source: RNAcentral
AGAGUUUGAUCCUGGCUCAGAACGAACGCUGGCGGCGUGGAUAAGACAUGCAAGUCGAACGGGAUAUGCUUGGUAGUAAUAUUAAGUGUGUCUAGUGGCGAACGGGUGCGUAACACGUGGACAACAUUCCGAGAAGCGGGGGAUAGCCCAGGGAAACUUGGUUUAAUACCGCAUGUGGUUGAGUGUGGCAUCACACAACAACUAAAGGUGGGGACCGCAAGGCCUGCCACUUCUCGAUUGGUCCGCGGCCUAUCAGCUUGUUGGCGGGGUAACGGCCCACCAAGGCGACGACGGGUAGCUGGUCUGAGAGGACGACCAGCCACACUGGAACUGAGACACGGUCCAGACACCUACGGGUGGCAGCAGUCGAGAAUCAUUCACAAUGGGGGAAACCCUGAUGGUGCGACGCCGCGUGGAGGAUAAGGUCUUCGGAUUGUAAACUCCUGUCAUGUGAGAGCAAGGCUACAAUUUUAAUACCUUCGGAGCUUGAUAGUGUCACAAGAGGAAGAGACGGGUAACUCUGUGC